Molecule: ribosomal RNA, 433 nt
Filed under: uncultured bacterium
Lineage: Bacteria
Description: partial 16S ribosomal RNA
Rfam family: Bacterial small subunit ribosomal RNA
Source: RNAcentral
AACGAACGCUGGCGGCAUGCCUAACACAUGCAAGUCGAACGAGACCUUCGGGUCUAGUGUCGCACGGGUGCGUAACGCGUUGGAACCUGCCCUUAGGUUCGGAAUAACUCCCCGAAAGGGGUUCUAAUACCGGAUAAUGUCUUCGGUCCAAAGAUUUAUCGCCUUUGGAUGGGCCCGCGUUGGAUUAGCUAGUUGGUAGGGUAAAAGCCUACCAAGGCGACGAUCCAUAGCUGGUCUGAGAGGAUGAUCAGCCACACUGGGACUGAGACACGGCCCAGACUCCUACGGGAGGCAGGAGUGGGGAAUAUUGGACAAUGGGCGAAAGCCUGAUCCAGCAAUGCCGCGUGAGUGAUGAAGGCAUUAGGGUUGUAAAGAUCUUUUACCCGGGAUGAUAAUGACAGUACCGGGAGAAUAAGCUCCGGCUAACUCCGUG